Molecule: ribosomal RNA, 253 nt
Filed under: uncultured bacterium
Lineage: Bacteria
Description: partial 16S ribosomal RNA
Rfam family: Bacterial small subunit ribosomal RNA
Source: RNAcentral
UACGAAGGGGGCUAGCGUUGCUCGGAAUUACUGGGCGUAAAGGGCGCGUAGGCGGCACUGUUAGUCAGGCGUGAAAGUCCUGGGCUCAACCUGGGAACUGCGCUUGAUACGGCAGAGCUAGAGGAUGGAAGAGGGUCGCGGAAUUCCCAGUGUAGAGGUGAAAUUCGUAGAUAUUGGGAAGAACACCGGUGGCGAAGGCGGCCAUCUGGACCGCAACUGACGCUGAGGCGCGAAAGCGUGGGGAGCGAACAGG